UACAGAGGGUGCAAGCGUUGCUCGGAUUUACUGGGCGUAAAGCGUACGCAGACGGCCACGCAGGUCGGGUGUGAAAGCCCCGGGCUCAACCCCGGGAAUUGCAUUCGAAACCAUGUGGCUCGAGUGUGGGAGAGGGUAGUGGAAUUCCUGGUGUAGAGGUGAAAUUCGUAGAUAUCAGGAGGAACACCGGCGGCGAAGGCGGCUACCUGGUCCACAACUGACGUUCAGGUACGAAAGCGUGGGGGAGCAAACAGG
RNAcentral lists this ribosomal RNA (255 nucleotides) under uncultured bacterium. RNAcentral describes it as "partial 16S ribosomal RNA". It matches the Rfam family "Bacterial small subunit ribosomal RNA", at positions 524 to 776 of the family's 1533-position model. The record is from RNAcentral.